Molecule: ribosomal RNA, 497 nt
Filed under: uncultured bacterium
Lineage: Bacteria
Description: partial 16S ribosomal RNA
Rfam family: Bacterial small subunit ribosomal RNA
Source: RNAcentral
GAUGAACGCUGGCGGCGUGCCUAAUACAUGCAAGUCGAGCGAACAGAUGAGGAGCUUGCUCCCCUGACGUUAGCGGCGGACGGGUGAGUAACACGUGGAUAACCUACCUAUAAGACUUGGAUAACUUCGGGAAACCGGAGCUAAUACCGGAUAAUAUAUUGAACCGCUUGGUUCAAUAGUGAAAGGCGGUUUUGCUGUUACUUAUAGAUGGAUCCGCGCCGCAUUAGCUAGUUGGUAAGGUAACGGCUUACCAAGGCAACGAUGCGUAGCCGACCUGAGAGGGUGAUCGGCCACACUGGAACUGAGACACGGUCCAGACUCCUACGGGAGGCAGCAGUAGGGAAUCUUCCGCAAUGGGCGAAAGCCUGACGGAGCAACGCCGCGUGAGUGAUGAAGGUCUUCGGAUCGUAAAACUCUGUUAUUAGGGAAGAACAAAUGUGUAAGUAACUAUGCACGUCUUGACGGUACCUAAUCAGAAAGCCACGGCUAACUACGUG